Long non-coding RNA from Drosophila sechellia, 128 nucleotides. RefSeq lists it as uncharacterized. Lineage: Eukaryota; Metazoa; Arthropoda; Insecta; Diptera; Drosophilidae. The record is from RefSeq and is a predicted model, not a curated record. The transcript has 2 exons.
GCUGGAACUGGUGGUGCUGUCCUCUAGCAGAUCCUUGAGGUCAUUGGCCGCUGCCAAAGUGCACAGCAGCAAGAGCAUGAGAAUUGGACUACCGCUCCCGAAUGUCACCUCCCACUUGGAGAAGAAAA